GUCUUUUUGAUUAAUAAUUUAAAGUCUAAUCUGCCCACUGAUAAUAUAUUAAAGGGCUGCAGUAUUUUGACUGUACAAAGGUAGCAUAAUCAUUAGUCUCUUAAUUGGUGACUUGUAUGAAGGAUUUGAUGAAAUAUAUACUGUCUCUUUUUAAUUUAUAAAAUUUAAUUUUUUGGUUAAAAAGCUAAAAUUUAUUUAAAAGACGAGAAGACCCUAUAGAGUUUUAUAUUUAUAUAAAUUAAAAUUUUUUAUAAGAUUUAAAAUUUCAAUUUAUAUAAAUAUUUUAUUGGGGUGAUAGAAAAAUUAAAAUAACUUUUUUUAUAAUUUUACAUUAAUAAAUGAAUAAAUGAUCCGUAAUUUACGAUUAUAAGAUAAAAUUACCUUAGGGAUAACAGCGUAAUUUUUUUUUUUAGUUCAAAUAAGAAAAAGAGUUUGCGACCUCGAUGUUGGAUUAAGAUAAAAUUUAAAUGCAAAAGUUUAAAAUUUUUGAUCUGUUCGAUCAUUAAAAUCUUACA
RNAcentral lists this ribosomal RNA (515 nucleotides) under Parnassius smintheus behrii. RNAcentral's name for it is "Parnassius behrii partial 16S ribosomal RNA". The stretch from base 388 to 515 matches the Rfam family "Bacterial large subunit ribosomal RNA", at positions 2473 to 2600 of the family's 2925-position model. The record is from RNAcentral. Lineage: Eukaryota; Metazoa; Arthropoda; Insecta; Lepidoptera; Papilionidae.